CAGCCGCCGCGGUAAUACGUAGGUGGCAAGCGUUGUCCGGAAUUAUUGGGCGUAAAGGGCUCGCAGGCGGUUUCUUAAGUCUGAUGUGAAAGCCCCCGGCUCAACCGGGGAGGGUCAUUGGAAACUGGGAAACUUGAGUGCAGAGGAGGAGAGUGGAAUUCCACGUGUAGCGGUGAAAUGCGUAGAGAUGUGGAGGAACACCAGUGGCGAAGGCGACUCUCUGGUCUGUAACUGACGCUGAGGAGCGAAAGCGUGGGGAGCGAACAGGAUUAGAUACCCCAGUAGUCCCUGUCUCUUAUAC
Molecule: ribosomal RNA, 301 nt
Filed under: uncultured bacterium
Lineage: Bacteria
Description: partial 16S ribosomal RNA
Rfam family: Bacterial small subunit ribosomal RNA
Source: RNAcentral